GAAAUGCGAUAAGUAGUGUGAAUUGCAGAAUUCAGUGAAUCAUCGAAUCUUGAACGCACAUUGCGCCCCUUGGUAUUCCAUGGGGCAUGCCUGUUCGAGCGUCAUUUGUACCCUCAAGCUCUGCUUGGUGUUGGGUGUUUGUCCCCGUCUCCGCGCGUGGACUCGCCCCAAAGUGAUUGGCAGCCGGCGUACUGGUCCCGGAGCGCAGCACAUGUCGCGCAAACGAGUGCCUUGGUACGGCGGCGUCCAUAAGCCCCUCUCUCACGCUCUUGACCUCGGAUCAGGUAGGGAUACCCGCUGAACUUAAGC
This 309-nucleotide unclassified non-coding RNA is filed under the name plant metagenome. RNAcentral's name for it is "partial contains 5.8S ribosomal RNA, internal transcribed spacer 2, and large subunit ribosomal RNA". The stretch from base 1 to 104 matches the Rfam family "5.8S ribosomal RNA", at positions 50 to 154 of the family's 154-position model. The record is from RNAcentral.